Molecule: ribosomal RNA, 502 nt
Filed under: uncultured bacterium
Lineage: Bacteria
Description: partial 16S ribosomal RNA
Rfam family: Bacterial small subunit ribosomal RNA
Source: RNAcentral
UGGGGAAUAUUGGACAAUGGGGGCAACCCUGAUCCAGCAAUGCCGCGUGUGUGAAGAAGGUUUUCGGAUUGUAAAGCACUUUCGACGGGGACGAUGAUGACGGUACCCGUAGAAGAAGCCCCGGCUAACUUCGUGCCAGCAGCCGCGGUAAUACGAAGGGGGCUAGCGUUGCUCGGAAUGACUGGGCGUAAAGGGCGUGUAGGCGGUUUGUACAGUCAGAUGUGAAAUCCCCGGGCUUAACCUGGGAGCUGCAUUUGAUACAUGCAGACUAGAGUGUGAGAGAGGGUUGUGGAAUUCCCAGUGUAGAGGUGAAAUUCGUAGAUAUUGGGAAGAACACCGGUGGCGAAGGCGGCAACCUGGCUCAUAACUGACGCUGAGGCGCGAAAGCGUGGGGAGCAAACAGGAUUAGAUACCCUGGUAGUCCACGCUGUAAACGAUGUGUGCUAGAUGUUGGGUAACUUAGUUAUUCAGUGUCGCGAGUUAACGCGUUAAGCACACCGCC